UCGCAGGAGGAGGAGGUCAUGGACGGCUUCGCCAUACCCAGCUUCAGCACCCUGGAGGCCCUGAGAAAGAUAUGGCCCUGGAGCCACAGGAGCGGAAGGAGAAAUGGGAACGUCGCCUUAUCAAGAACCCCGGGAGUUGGAAACCUGCCUCCUUGCGGAGCCGAGUGAGACCAGGCGGACCCUGGAGGCAGGCAGCCCCCGGCAGGACCUCGAGCCCGCUUGCCAUGGGGCGAGGAAGGUCCCGCUGCAGUCCUCCAAGCAG
RNAcentral lists this long non-coding RNA (262 nucleotides) under Homo sapiens (human). RNAcentral describes it as "non-protein coding lnc-ROPN1B-6:1". Lineage: Eukaryota; Metazoa; Chordata; Mammalia; Primates; Hominidae. The record is from RNAcentral.